RNAcentral lists this ribosomal RNA (263 nucleotides) under uncultured archaeon. RNAcentral's name for it is "partial 16S ribosomal RNA". It matches the Rfam family "Archaeal small subunit ribosomal RNA", at positions 718 to 982 of the family's 1478-position model. The record is from RNAcentral.
CACGACUACAUUAGAUACCCCCGUAGUCCUAGGCGUAAAUGAUGCGAGUUAAGUGUGGGGGCAUCUACGAGAUGGCCCUGUGCUGUAGGGUAGCCGUUAAACUCGCUGCCUGGGGAGUACGGUCGCAAGGAUGAAACUUAAAGGAAUUGGCGGGGAGCACCGCAACGGGAGGAGCGUGCGGUUCAAUUGGAUUCAACGCCGGACAACUCACCAGGAGCGACGGUUACAUGAAGGCCAGGCUGAUGACCUUGCCUGAUUUUCCG